GAUGAACGCUAGCGGCAGGCUUAACACAUGCAAGUCGAGGGGUAACAUGAGUGCUUGCACUUGAUGACGACCGGCGCACGGGUGCGUAACGCGUAUACAAUCUGCCUUUUGCUGUGGGAUAGCCCAGAGAAAUUUGGAUUAAUACCACAUAGUAUAUAAGAGUGGCAUCACUAUUAUAUUAAAGGUUACGGCAAAAGAUGAGUAUGCGUUCUAUUAGCUAGAUGGUGUGGUAACGGCACACCAUGGCAACGAUAGAUAGGGGCCCUGAGAGGGGGAUCCCCCACACUGGUACUGAGACACGGACCAG
This 307-nucleotide ribosomal RNA is filed under the name uncultured bacterium. RNAcentral describes it as "bacterial SSU rRNA". It matches the Rfam family "Bacterial small subunit ribosomal RNA", at positions 28 to 334 of the family's 1533-position model. The record is from RNAcentral.